GACGAACGCUGGCGGCGUGCUUAACACAUGCAAGUCGAACGGAAAGGCCCUUCGGGGUACUCGAGUGGCGAACGGGUGAGUAACACGUGGGUGAUCUGCCCUGCACUUUGGGAUAAGCCUGGGAAACUGGGUCUAAUACCGAAUAGGACCGCGCGCUUCAUGGUGUGUGGUGGAAAGCUUUUGCGGUGUGGGAUGGGCCCGCGGCCUAUCAGCUUGAUGGUGGGGUAAUGGCCUACCAAGGCGACGACGGGUAGCCGGCCUGAGAGGGUGACCGGCCACACUGGGACUGAGAUACGGCCCAGACGCCUACGGGCGGCAGCAGUGGGGAAUAUUGCACGAUGGGCGCAAGCCUGAUGCAGCGACGCCGCGUGAGGGAUGACGGCCUUCGGGUUGUAAACCUCUUUCACCAGGGACGAAGCGCAAGUGACGGUACCUGGAGAAGAAGCACCGGCCAACUACGG
This 461-nucleotide ribosomal RNA is filed under the name uncultured bacterium. RNAcentral describes it as "partial 16S ribosomal RNA". It matches the Rfam family "Bacterial small subunit ribosomal RNA", at positions 28 to 506 of the family's 1533-position model. The record is from RNAcentral.